Molecule: non-coding RNA, 72 nt
Organism: Ictidomys tridecemlineatus (thirteen-lined ground squirrel)
Lineage: Eukaryota; Metazoa; Chordata; Mammalia; Rodentia; Sciuridae
Source: Rfam
GGGGUUGUGGCUCAGUGGUAGAGCGCUCAUCUAGCAUGUGCGAGGCCCUGGGUUUGAUCCUCAGCAUCACAU